UUUUCUUGUUGCGGUUUCUUUACUGCACAACGAAAUUUGUGUUUGGAUCUAUCCUGUACAAUAACCAAAGCCAAGUUCAGCUGUCAGCCCGGUUCCAUUGUACUCGCAUCAAUCCGAAUCCUACUGUUUGACAUCUGUUAACUCUACCGUCUCCCACACGACAAACCUUAGGCAGGCUAUAAAAAAGUUUGAUUUUGAGAUUAGGCUUCUCGUUCUUGUGCGUUUUGAGCGCUUCCAAAAAUCCCUUUCUGUUGACUGACAGAACCUGCGGUUUUUGGAAGAAAACCAUAGCUGUUGGCAGGCCGGAAAGCAAGCGAGAUUUGGGUAUCCCUCAUUCUUUUGUUCUCCGUGUUUUUUCAUGGUUUUCCUGGACUGGACCUCUUUUUCUUUGUUCUCCGAGAAAACCAAGUAGGUGCAUGCAAUUGGGGCCCUUAGAAGACUCUUGCUUUUGCAGUCUUUUCAAUUUUCUGCCUGGAAAUCUUUUGAUGGGUCGUUCAGAAGGCUGCAGAAUAUCGCUAUGAUUGAUUGAAAAAUCUUUGCCCGAGUCGUUAAUUGGAGGGAAGUUCUACUGUGGAGGUGGGUUUCUUUAGAAUAUUGAAUUUUUCGAGAUGGAUGGUGCUGAGGUUCAUGAAUCUUCGACCAGUUUGGAUGUCGAUACCGAUUGGGAAGGCAUGAGAGAAACGUAUUUGAAGUUGCUUGAAUGUGGGUCGGAAGUUUGUAGGAUCAGAGGUACAAUUUUGCUGGGUAAGCGGUCUAAGAUUGCGCCUGAAACUGUUCUGGAACCGCUCGUUCCUAUUUUGGUUGAACAUCUGGAUGUCGCUCAGUUCGAUCAUCCGAGAUCGAUUCAAGAGGCAGCUGCUUACUGCAUUAUGUGUUUUGCUCGCCGUAGCGAUAAUUUGUGCCGGUUAAUUGGCCAGUCUGGCGCAGUUCAGCAUCUCCUCCGGCUGCUGGUUCAGUCGGAAGCCGGUCAUCGGAAGACAUUGGCGAGGUCCCUGAGGGAAAUCAUUAUCUGUUCUAGCCAAAACAGGAUGAUCUUGAUUCGACACAACGGGCUGCAAGUAGUUAUCAGUUUGAUGGAUUCGUCUAGCGGCACGACAAGGCGUUGUUUCGCAGAGAUACUGAGUGCCAUGGCGAUGCUGAGAGACAUGAGACGCGCGAUAGUUGGCACUGGCAGUCUGCCUCUUCUCAUUGAGGCUGCUGGAGUUGGGGUAAUGGCUUCUAGAGCCAGGGCAGUUACAGCCAUCGGGAUGAUUGGAAGGACGAGAACCUCAAGGCAGCUGCUUGUUGAUGCGGGCGUCAUACCCGUUUUGGUAGGAUUAAUGAGGGAAGGCGACCCGACUUUGAAGAUUGUGGCAGCAAACACUCUAGGAAUUGUCUCUGCCCACGUAGAUUUUAUCCGACCUGUUGCUCUGGCUGGAGCAAUUCCACUGAUUGUCGAGUUACUUGAAGGAACUGAAUCUAUUGGUAAAGAAAUUGCAGAAGAUGUUCUUUGUGUGUUGGCUGUUGCCGAGGAAAAUGCCGUAGCCAUUGCUGCACAUAUGGUGACAAUUCUUCGGCAGUCUAAUGAUGCUGCCAAAGCUGCAGCAGUCGAUGUUCUAUGGGAUCUGUCCAGCUAUAAGCAUUCCAUACCUGUUGUCAGAGUGUCUGGUGCAGUCCCUCUUCUGCUUGAAAAUUUACAAGUAGGAACAGCUGAGAUCCGGGAGAGGGUCUCAGGAGCUGUUGCGCAAUUGAGCUAUGAUGAGGAUGAUAGGCGUGCACUUGCCGAUGCUGGAGUCAUUCCAAUUCUCAUGAGGCUCCUGAGGGAUGAAUCCGAAGAGGUGAAGGAUAACGCAGCAGAAGCUCUGAUCAAUUUUUCGGAAGAUCCAUUAUUAAGAGAAAGAAUCUCAGAAGCAUUUGAUACCCCUACGUUUCAAGAUACAGUAAAUAGGCUUGUCAGAAUUCACAGAACAGACGAGCACAUAAAUCAGUCCUUGAGACGGAUGGCUGAUGAACAGCUUGCAAGGGAACACGAAUAUGGUUGACACAUCUUUUGUCACUGCAAUACAGAUUCCGUGACCCUUGUCACAGCACUUGCUUAUUUUUCUCCACUUAUUUGGUGCCGGCUAAAGGAGGAGAAUUGGAGAAAGCUAUCAACAGAAAUUUUUUUGGGCUUUCCUAUGGGAGGACCAACGUUGGAGGCAUGUCAUUUGGUAGGACUAUCACAUUUUCAUUGGAGUGUGGUGUUUGGGUGCUCAUUCUUGGAGAUUUCUAAGCUAUGCUGUUGUCCAUAGAUGGUAGUGGUUGAUGUCUCCACGGGCCUUAGUUCUGAAGGAUAAAUAUGAUCUUCACACAUCUAGGCUCUAGGUGUUUGUCAUCAAAUUAUGCGAUCACAGUUUUGCCAAUCUUGAAAUUUAAGAGUUUGCUAUUUAUACAACCUCAUUUUUGUCACCAAAUAAUAUUAGUUGGCAGUGUUGCAGGAGGUUGUUUUCUCUGCAAGUUCAUACGUACAACUUUUUUUUUCUCAAAACAGGUAUAAACAUGCUCCCCAAGGGAAUUAGGCCUCCUGGCCGCUCAUCUAUGCAAAGUUAUCUAGUAGGUCAGAAUAAGUUAAUGGCCAUUUGGGUGAUGGCAAAACACCUUAGCUAAGCUGGUUUUGAGCUACAACUGAGUUUUAGCUUUAAAUUUCAAUUGAAUAUGCAUUUGGAUGACAAUGAAAACACAGUUAACAAAACUGAGUAUUUCGGACAACCUAGUUUUGACUAAUAACCGAUAAGUUUGGAGGUCCAGCUUGUUUGGAACCUGUAACUGGGUCUUUUUGGAGGGGCUCAAAAUAUUUCCCACCAAGCUUGUGCAGCCCCGCAAAACAUUUCCGACCAAGCCUGUGAAGCCCUCCAAAGCCACUGUGAGGUUCAUGAAGAACUCUUCAGUGGGUUUCUUCCUCAUUAACAAGGCAAUCCUACGAAGAAGCUCGUUCACCUAUCAGCUGAUGCAGUAUAGACUGGAUCUUAGAUUCGGAUCUGUUAGGGCUUAUUUGGGACUUCGCUGUAUUUUGGGUUUGGAUCUUUAACUUGUGUAGACCCAAGAUCCAAUUCGGAUCUUAGGAUUAGGCCCCUUAAAAGCGCAUCUUUUCUUGUGAUUAGGGCUAAUUGGCAUUGUGAGAAACCCUAAUUUCCUUUGAUUAUUGAUUUCCCUUGUUUUUUUUAUGCACUUUCUCCUUCAAUUACAUUCUUUGGUACCCUUCAAGCGGGGAUUAGAGUGAGGAACUCUAAUCACUGCAUCAUCAGCUCUCAUAACCCCCUCCAUUGCUAUUAGAUUCCAGCCUCCUAGCGCCUCUCCAUCUCAUCCCAGGGCAAUCCUAUGCUGUUGCUGGCAAGUCUCCAUAUCACCUCUCUCUCUCAGAAAUGUUGCCUUCUUUUCCAAAUCAACUUUCAAGAAUCUGAUAUGUGAGAAAGAAAGUAUUUGCAUGCAGAAACCUCUUUUUGCUUCAAAUUUUAUUAUUUUUAUUAGAAAUUCAGGUAUAGUUCAUGCAUUUCACACAGAUAUUGGUACUGUGGGCAAUUAAUCUUUUCUUCGUCAUUCAGCACUAUGUCUUGGAUGAUCUUUCACAAACUAAAAUAGAAACUACCUGCAAGGUCCAAUCAGGAAUCACAGUAGAUUAUUUCAAAAUUAAUGGAAUUACUGCAUCAUUUGUUGUGAUUAUCAAGUGUGUAUUAUUCUUUGGAGGGAAAAAUUGAAGCUGAUUUCAUAGAUCUAAUUGACUUAUUUAUUAAGAGUGUUCUUAUAAACCAGCUUGUUCAACUACCUGAAGUUACCUUUUAAUAUGACGUUAUAUCUGCCCUACAUCCUACCCCUACUUCAUCCUACCCCUACUUUCUUAUCAUUUAUUAUGUGAUUAUGUUCUUGUAAAGAACAGUAGUUGGUGUAGGAGCUGUUUUUUUUUCCUUAAUCACAUGAAUGUUGAUGCACAUAUUUGCACCAGCUAUGACUGGAUUACUGGUCCAAACUAUCCUAGUUCCACGUAUUUUUUCGUGAACUUGCAGAUGUGUUCGUGUCCAAUUUUUUCUCUGUUUUGAUUAUAUGAAACGAGAUCAACAAACAUCUAGGAUUUUUUUCCCUAUUUUGAAGUCUUUGGUACAAUGUUGGCCACACCCUCUCUCAAAACCAGUCUAAGCGUAGCAUAUUCCUACAUACAGGAUGGUGGUAAUCAGAAUUCUGUGAAAAUUGCCAUGUCCUGGAUAAGCCACAGACCAAACAGCUGAAUCCCACAGUUUUUAGUGCUUUAGAAAAUGCAGGCUAGACAUUGAUUCCACAAUAAGGCAGAUAUUACUAAAAAUCGUGAAGAUUCCUACAAUUAAGAGCAAAGAUUCAUUGCAGCUAGGUUCACUUUAGACUCCCAGGUCUUUAGUUCUUUAGAAAAUCCAGACUAGACAUUGAUUCCACCGUAAGGCAUAUAUUAUUAGGAAUCCUACAGUCAAAAUGCUUACAAUUAAGAGCAAAGUUUCAUUGCAGGCUUUGCAGCUAGAUUUGCUGUGGUCUCCUUUUAUUCCCAGAGAUAAGGACAAACAAAAAAGCACCAUUUACUUGCUUCUCUACUGAAAUUUCUGAAAACAUUAUGGCUACAAAGUUGUGGCUUAGUCUAUCAAUGAAAUUAGUUGAAUAAAUAAUAAAUAACUUUUUAAAGGAUAAUCUGACAAUGUUGCAGCCCAGAAGAGCUGUUUACACGUCGCCAGGUAUCCUCCAGCUCAUGGCAUGUCUGGGGCUCGUUUUGGUAUGUACAUACAUACAUACAUGCAUGCAUAUAUAUAUAUAUAUAUAUAUAUAUAUAUAUAUAUAUAUAUAUAUAUAUAUCUAUAGGGAUAGAGAGAAACUGGUAGGUGCUAGCCAUCUCAGCCCUUGAUAUUUUAAAUAUCAGCAGCUGAGAGAAAAAAAGGAAGAAAAGGUGAUGGGACAUUUUUGUAAUUUAGUAGCAGUUUACACUUUUUCUCCUUGUUUUCCACUCAAUAGUGAAUUUGGCAAAGAAACAAGAGCUGAGGUUGUUCCUUAUCCAUCUAGCAUCUAAGUGUCUAGCACAUACCAAUUUUUUUUUCUCUCUCUCUCUCUCUCUCUAUAUAUAUAUAUAUAUAUAUAUAUAUAUAUAUAUAUAGUACCAGAUCUAUGUAUCACCUACACAACUUUCACCACCUCCAAGCCAUGUAGUUCCAAUCAUUUUUUCUUAGUUCAGACUUGUGCCAUGUUAUUUUAUAAUUUAUUUAACAAAGGUCUUACAGUAAUGGGUGUUUUCCUUGUUUAGAAGCCUCUUUCUGCAAUCAGAAGAGGAUGCCUCAUAUAGCACCAAUAUUUGAGGGUUAAGCAAAUAAUGGUUCUUCAGGGAUAACCAAUGAUUGACAUAUCUAUACAUGCAUGGUUCACAACAGCUAAUCAAUGGUGGAGAUAUCUAUAUGCAUCAUGGUCCCUAUAAGAUAGCCAAUGAUGGAAACAUCGAUAUGCAUCAUGGUUCAUUCAUCUGCUCUUUUCGUUUCAAGUGUGACAGUUGUCCCCUAAUUGAAGACUUGUCAUGUAACCCAAGGUGAAGUUGCUUAUGAACACUUAUGCUUCUUGAUCAGCCCUAGCUGUCCCUUGAAGCAAUUUAAGCAUGGAAACCUUCAACCUCUUGUAUUGAACUUAAGUGUUCCUCAUUAAUUUGAUGGUCGUUUGUCAUUGUGGCAAUGCUUCAGAUGCUCUUUUUUUUCUGGGUGGUUGCAUAAGCAGGUUAUUGGAUUUUGUGGGAAAAUAGAAUUGUGAGAAGUGCUGCAACAGAAGUUGCUUUGAAGGAGAGACUACCAAAGACGAUCGCUUCAUUGUGUCAAACACAUUGAUCAGAACUGAAUAUUCAGCAGUGGGGCCAAAGCAAGAGGGAGAUUUGAAUAUCAUUCAACAUCAGCUACCAAGCUCUUUAACAUCACAGAUCGUCCGUUAAGUCAAGGUAUAAGCUUUGGAAGAUUCCAUUCACAUCACAGCAAAGUUCUGUGAGCUUGACUCUGGCUUUUCACGUCAACAUUUUUUUCUCAGGUGAGCAAGAUGAUUAAGAUCCACCAUUCAGGAAGGAGCUGAAACCCCUCCCUUUCCCCUUGCCUCGGAUAUCCAGGACUGUUUUACAUUCAUCUCAGUAUGAUGCUCCACCCAUGCGGCAUAGGAGUGUAGUGCCUAUGGAAAUCAAAGAGUUAACACAUUCAUUCUUGCACCACCAGCCUGAUUAGCUGUGCUAUAUCCCUUAAGAUUCUACAUUUUUGUAGUGGCUUCAGGUGACAGUCAUAGUUGGACCUUAUCUACUUCUUGUUACAAGGAACAUUGGUGCGAUUAUGUCAAUUAUCUAAUCCUUAAAUCUAGGAACAGUAUCUACAAUUACACCAUAUUUAUAGAAACAAAGACAUGACAUUUUCAAAGUAUAUGUCCUAAAAACAUGUAGUUAAAGACAAUGUUUUUUUAUCAAUUAUCUUUUUAUGAAUUUGAACUCCAUUAAUUCAAACAAACCCAAACCUUAAUGAAAAU
This is an RNA transcript of Nymphaea colorata (pocket water lily), 6507 nucleotides long. It is a transcript of the gene named U-box domain-containing protein 13, with no coding region annotated. The record is from RefSeq and is a predicted model, not a curated record. NCBI's taxonomy places the organism in Eukaryota, Viridiplantae, Streptophyta, Magnoliopsida, Nymphaeales, Nymphaeaceae. The transcript has 4 exons.